RNAcentral lists this unclassified non-coding RNA (349 nucleotides) under Mussaenda pubescens var. alba. Its description in RNAcentral is "partial external transcribed spacer". Lineage: Eukaryota; Viridiplantae; Streptophyta; Magnoliopsida; Gentianales; Rubiaceae. The record is from RNAcentral. RNAcentral also lists the same sequence under 2 other names.
CCUUUACAUGCCUCUUCAUUCAUCUACCCAAGAGCAUUGUUAGCCUGGGGAAGAUGCGGGUUUCCUGUGUUGCAUACCUUUCAAAAGGAAUUCAUAUGUUAUCAAUGCUUAACAUUCGCCUUGUGCUGUCCCAGUGUUAGGUGAAUCCCUAUGCGCUGUCUGUGUUCCCGGCGAGUCACAUUAUGUGUAUUUGCACGGGCCCAUGGAUUCCCGCAUGAGCUCUUGAAUACAGAAAACCAAGACGGUACGAGGUCGUUGACCUCUACGUGCCCGAAUUAAAGCGUUAAUCGCUACUACCAAACGACUGCUGUCGUUGUAUCGAGGUGGCAGACUCAUCGGGUCUUCUGUC